UGAACGCUGGCGGCGUGCUUAACACAUGCACGUCGAACGAAACACCUUAUUUGAUUUUCUUCGGAACUGAAGCUUUGGUGAUUGAGUGGCGGACGGGUGAGUAACGCGUGGGUAACCUGCCCUGUACAGGGGGAUAACAGUCAGAAAUGACUGCUAAUACCGCAUAAGACCACAGCACCGCAUGGUGCAGGGGUAAAAACUCCGGUGGUACAGGAUGGACCCGCGUCUGAUUAGCUGGUUGGUGAGGUAACGGCUCACCAAGGCGACGAUCAGUAGCCGGCUUGAGAGAGUGAACGGCCACAUUGGGACUGAGACACGGCCCAAACUCCUACGGGAAGCAGCAGUGGGGAAUAUUGCACAAUGGGGGAAACCCCGAUGCAGCGACGCCGCGUGAGUGAAGAAGUAUUUCGGUAUGUAAAGCUCUAUCAGCAGGGAAGAAAAUGACGGUACCUGACUAAGAAGCCCCGGCUAACUACGUG
RNAcentral lists this ribosomal RNA (479 nucleotides) under uncultured bacterium. Its description in RNAcentral is "partial 16S ribosomal RNA". It matches the Rfam family "Bacterial small subunit ribosomal RNA", at positions 30 to 507 of the family's 1533-position model. The record is from RNAcentral.